This 99-nucleotide small nuclear RNA is filed under the name Ochotona princeps (American pika). Lineage: Eukaryota; Metazoa; Chordata; Mammalia; Lagomorpha; Ochotonidae. The record is from RNAcentral.
UCGUUUUGGUGGCACAUAUACUUAAAAUUGGAACAAUGUAGAGAAGAUUAGCAUGGCCCAUGUACAAGGAUGGCAUGCAUAGAACAUAUAAAACUUGUU